Non-coding RNA from Rhizopogon vinicolor AM-OR11-026, 87 nucleotides. Lineage: Eukaryota; Fungi; Basidiomycota; Agaricomycetes; Boletales; Rhizopogonaceae. The record is from the annotation of a GenBank genome assembly.
GCCGGGGUAGCUCAGCUGGGAGAGCAACAGACUGAAGUGUUUAACGAGUUCUUCUGGAGGUCCCGUGUUCAAUCCACGGUCCUGGCA